CAUCUCUUUGGUUGUAGUGCUUCAGUUCCAGAUAUAUACUUCUGCAUCCGUUCGACUGUGUCUAUGAUGGCAGGUACUGAUGGAGGUAGUUCAAUGGGAGGUUCGUCCAACAACAUUGCUAAGGUUGAAGAUCAUUUUGGAGGGAUCAUCAUGCAGCCCCUGUGAUGUUCCUGCUGGAGGUAUAGGCACUCCAAGCCGGUUCAGCGACAUUCAGGUAUCAAUGCUUCUUCCUUCAGUGCAAUAGGAUGUGCGUUGUGUCUCCAUGGAAUGCUAGUAAGCACUGUACGUUUCGUUGGUGUGAUGUGGAAUCAACGUGACUUGGAUAGUGAGAUUCGGCUUGACUUCGACGAUCGUACUGGCAGAAUUCAGGCCAGGAUAUGGUAUUGAUUUGAACCCAAGUUUUUCUUCAUUGAGAUAGUAGCUUCUCUGUUGUUUUAAGAUCUUCAAUUCAUUCCUAUUAGGACGCUGGAAUCAGAAUUCAUGCUUUCCGUGAAUACUGCAAAGUAACUGCCUUGUUUGUCUACCGUUUUGUUUUUUCAAGUAUAUUCCUUGUGUACUUUGUCCAAAUGUGAUGCUUAAUUUGCUAUGCACAACACAAAGGAAUGGAGAAUGCAUUGUGAUGAAUGGUAGUAUCAGGGGGGCUAAUGAGGGCAUGCACAUAAGCAUGUACUCCCUCCGUUCGGAAUUACUUGUCUCGGAUAUGGAUGUAUCUAGAACUAAAAUACAUCUAGAUACAUCCAUUUCUGCGACAAGUAAUUCCGAACUGAGGGAGUACUCCGUAAGGUACGUUUGUUCUGGUAAUCUGUGUAAGCUUUGAGCACUUGGGUGCUAAUUUCUCUGACUAUCGUGGAUAUCUUAGCAACCCAGCGAUAUAUAAUUUAUUGACCUAAAUAAGCCACUUCGAAACUUUUCCGAAAAAAGCCACUUCGAAACUUGCUGCUUUGAUUUGUAUUUUGAGUCAUUGACAUAUUUGUUUCCCCGCCUGAUGCUGAAUCCAAGCCAUCAUGAAUAUGCGUUGUAGAACUCAUACGCCUCCUGCUCGGAUUUUUUUUGAAACAACUUGCCAUUUCAUUGAUUAAGCCAACAGCUGGUUCGAAAACAACUGUUUCCCAAGUUUUGAUGCUCCUUCAAUUGCACGCUCUAUAGCACUUCGAUAUGCUUCUAUUGGUGCCCGGAAAGAAUUGCUAGUUCUGUUUCUGUAAAGAAAAACAACAAGGCGGUGCAGCUUGUUAAUAUACUCAGCACAAAAGUCUACAACUCGCGGAUGACUGAAAAGGAUGCUAGUAAGAAUAAAGAGACAUUCGAGAAAUGAUCAUCUUACCACUCGGUUGACUACUGCAAUGCUUCUUACUUCAUUUACCUGUCACCGUGAUUUACGAGAGAGAAAAGUCGGGGCAAAAUGUACCUGAAAAACGAUGCAGAAUUGCAGAUACCGGUAUUAAGGUGAUUACUUCUGCUGUCUUAUCCAUCCAUCGUUUCCCGGCAUGGUCGUGGCGGCAUCGCUGGUCUGCUAUCGUUCUCGUCUUCAACAAGAUCCACGGCGAUUGACGGGUGAUGUGAAGGUAUCUGGCUAUUGGUUCUGGAGAAGAUGGGAUCCAUGGGUGCUUCUCCUAUUGCCACAUCUAUCGCCGAGAACUCUGUAGACAAUGAUCGCAUAUUUUUGGAUGACAUGAAAACUGACACAUUAAGCGGUAUGCAGCUGAAAAACUCACUU
This is a long non-coding RNA of Triticum dicoccoides, 1714 nucleotides long. RefSeq lists it as uncharacterized. NCBI's taxonomy places the organism in Eukaryota, Viridiplantae, Streptophyta, Magnoliopsida, Poales, Poaceae. The record is from RefSeq and is a predicted model, not a curated record. The transcript is spliced from 3 exons.